CAAAGGAUCACAACUGGAACUCAAAUAUCCUACCAUAGAGGAUGGAAGUAGGUCAUCUGGCGAGCACCCCGGUAUUUCUCCCGCACAUUAAUUUCCUUGGAGUCCACUUCACACGAGCCCAACUGGCAGACAUUCUCUCUUUUUUUCUCUUUAUAGAACUAUAAAACUGUGUUAUUUGAGUUAUACAUUACCAUAAUGGAUGCGGUAAUAGUGCUUUGUCAGCUGUAUCUCCCUGUUGGCUGUCUCUGCUUUUGCCUUGAGGAGCUAUUAUUGUACUGUAGCAAAUGUUAAGAAAAAGAGUAGACUUCUAUCUUAUUUAUUAACAAUGGUGAGUAAUUAUAUCUUAAAACAUUUGUCCACUCCAUUUACCCUCCAUAACAUAGUUUCUUGCCAAGAAGACAUUAUUUAAGAGAAAUUGAAAGAACAUAUGCAUUGUGCACUGCCCCAGUAUCACCAUCACCUCCACCUCUACUUCCUGGGUAAUCCUGUGUGCUGAAUUACUCACUUUCUAACCCAGCUCUUCAUUUUUCAGCAAAGAAGAAUUGUGUUUAUAAGAUGUGUGAAAAGAGAAGAAAGAUGUUUGUCAGUAGGUUGGUUUACUCUGUGAAAGUAAGUGUCCUUAGGACGCAUCACUUCUGUUGUAAGAGUCUUAAUGGGAAUAAGCUUUAAGUGGAACCAAACAACUUCAAAUGCCCUGUUAUUUAUC
This 706-nucleotide long non-coding RNA is filed under the name Homo sapiens (human). RNAcentral describes it as "HSALNT0210040". Lineage: Eukaryota; Metazoa; Chordata; Mammalia; Primates; Hominidae. The record is from RNAcentral.